GAUGAACGCUGGCGGCGUGCCUAAUACAUGCAAGUCGAGCGAACGGACGAGAAUCUUGCUUCUCUGAUGUUAGCGGCGGACGGGUGAUUAACACGUGGAUAACCUACCUAUAAGACUGGGAUAACUUCGGGAAACCGGAGCUAAUACCGGAUAAUAUUUUGAACCGCAUGGUUCAACAGUGAAAGACGGUCUUGCUGUCACUUAUAGAUGGAUCCGCGCUGCAUUAGCUAGUUGGUAAGGUAACGGCUUACCAAGGCAACGAUGCAUAGCCGACCUGAGAGGGUGAUCGGCCACACUGGAACUGAGACACGGUCCAGACUCCUACGGGAGGCAGCAGUAGGGAAUCUUCCGCAAUGGGCGAAAGCCUGACGGAGCAACGCCGCGUGAGUGAUGAAGGUCUUCGGAUCGUAAAACUCUGUUAUUAGGGAAGAACAUAUGUGUAAGUAACUGUGCACAUCUUGACGGUACCUAAUCAGAAAGCCACGGCUAACUACGUG
Molecule: ribosomal RNA, 497 nt
Filed under: uncultured bacterium
Lineage: Bacteria
Description: partial 16S ribosomal RNA
Rfam family: Bacterial small subunit ribosomal RNA
Source: RNAcentral